CCAAUAGCGUAUAUUAAAGUUGCUGCAGUUAAAAAGCUCGUAGUUGAAUUUCGGGACCAUCAUAUCGGUCGUGCCUCGGUACGUACUGGUAUCGUUGGUUUCUCCCUUCUGACGAACCAUGAUGUCAUUUAUUUGGUGUCGUGGGAAAUCAGGACUGUUACUUUGAAAAAAUUAGAGUGUUUAAAGCAGGCUAACGCUUGAAUACAUUAGCAUGGAAUAAUGAAAUAGGACGUUCGAUCCUAUUUUGUUGGUUUCUAGGAUUGACGUAAUGAUUAAUAGGGAUAGUUGGGGGCAUUAGUAUUCAAUUGUCAGAGGUGAAAUUCUUGGAUUUAUUGAAGACUAACUACUGCGAAAGCAUUUGCCAAGGAUGUUUUCAUUAAUCAAGAACGAAAGUUAGGGGAUCGAAGACGAUCAGAUACCGUCGUAGUCUUAACCAUAAACUAUGCCGACUAGGGAUCGGAUGAUGUUAAUUUUUUAAUGACUCAUUCGGCGCCUUGCG
This 499-nucleotide ribosomal RNA is filed under the name uncultured Glomus. RNAcentral's name for it is "SSU rRNA". It matches the Rfam family "Eukaryotic small subunit ribosomal RNA", at positions 591 to 1092 of the family's 1831-position model. The record is from RNAcentral. Lineage: Eukaryota; Fungi; Glomeromycota; Glomeromycetes; Glomerales; Glomeraceae.